Molecule: ribosomal RNA, 289 nt
Filed under: uncultured bacterium
Lineage: Bacteria
Description: partial 16S ribosomal RNA
Source: RNAcentral
CUACUGGGGUUUCUAAUCCCGUUCGCUCCCCACGCCUUCGCAUCUCAGCGUCAGGUAUAUCCCAGCUGGCCGCCUUCGCCACAGGUGUUCCUCCCGAUCUCUACGCAUUUCACCACUACACCGGGAAUUCCACCAGCCCCUGAUAUCCUCAAGCUCACCCGUUCACGACGACCCUCCCCGGUUAAGCCGGGGGCUUUCACGCCAUGCGUAAUGAGCCGCCUGCAUGCGCUUUACGCCCAGUAACUCCGGACAACGCUCGACCCCUACGUAUUACCGCGGCUGCUGGCAC